RNAcentral lists this long non-coding RNA (224 nucleotides) under Elaeis guineensis (African oil palm). RNAcentral's name for it is "long non-coding RNA (EGUI_LNC078865)". Lineage: Eukaryota; Viridiplantae; Streptophyta; Magnoliopsida; Arecales; Arecaceae. The record is from RNAcentral.
GUUUGCAUUUGAAUUCAAAUUCGAUUUGAAUUCAAGUGAGCAACCACCUAUCUUUAUCCUCUCAUGCGGAUAAGACACGUCUUGCACUGUUUUAAAAGAGAAGAGAAGGUGGGGCGUGCGUAGAAUUUUUUUGAGAGAGAAUAGUGGGCAUGAGGAAGCCUUGUGCAUGAGUUGGAAGUUCAAAAACUUUCGAGAGAAAAGAAAAGAAAAGAAACAAAAGUGGG